RNAcentral lists this unclassified non-coding RNA (6682 nucleotides) under Hevea brasiliensis (rubber tree). The record is from RNAcentral. Lineage: Eukaryota; Viridiplantae; Streptophyta; Magnoliopsida; Malpighiales; Euphorbiaceae.
UUGCAAAAUUGGAAUAAAUUUCCACAUUAAAAUUAUUCUCAUCUUCGUGUACCAACAAAGCCAGUAAAUACAAUUACAACUAACAUGGUACAAUGGAUCCAUCAAUUAAUAGAAUUAAAGAAAGCAGACAUAAAUGCAAUAUAUCAAGGAAAUAUAAUAAAUAUGCGUUUUUAAAAUCAUUAGCACUACCAAAUCAUUGCUGACUUCGAUUUAAUUACCUGGUUGGAUUGCAAGCCGUCAUGAAUUUGUGUACACAUGGGGAGCAAGCCUAAAUAUUCACCCAAAACUUUUAUUUUUUUUUUCUAUUACAUAGAAUAACACGCACCAAUGGGCCAUAAAAACGUCAAUCGAUGAAGAGGCUAGUACACAAAGUCGAUACAGAAGCAGCACUUAACAUGGAGGAGAGGUCUUCCUUCCAGCCAUGACACUGUCUUACCAUGUCCCCAGCGAGUUUCGCCGAGAAUUCUCAUCAUAUCCCAGUAUUGGGGUUAUUUCCAGCAAGAAUAAGAGAAAUUUCUAAUCCACGGCUGAAGGCUUGGUUGAACAUGAGCCUGGUUUGGAAAGUUGAUACAAAUGGGAACCACGAAAAUAAGGCAAUAGGAAUAAAGAUGAGCAUUCCCAUCCCGGCAUCAUACAGACGGGCAAUUGAGCGGAUGGAUUUCCAUAAUCCUAGCUUCUUCAUCAAAGGCUUCCAUGCAGCAGCAAUAGAUAGAAUUCCCCAUCCAGUAGGUACAAAUGCCAAGAUGCAAGCAAAAAUGUCUGGAACUGACAAAUCUGUGAAUACAACUGCAACAGCUAAACCAGCUAAUGCCAACAAGAAGGAGACACCUUGGACGAAGCGCAACAAAAGCUGAAAAUUGACAGAUAUCUUCUGACUGAAGGUGAAUACCUUGAAAAGAACCAUAAGCACUGCUAGAACAAUCCAUGAAAAGCCAUAUAUCUACAGAAAAAUCAAACCACAGUUUUAUCUUUUUAAUACUGCACGUACAAGAAAUAACAGGGAAAACAGAAGCAAUCCAGAACAGUAGUCAAUAAUGCAGUAUCCUGUUUGGCGCAUGCCCAUGGAAGCUGAUGAAAUGCUUCUCAUUGCAGAAAGCAAUUAGAUUAAUGGUAGAAAGAAACAUUAAGAAAUGCAGUGUGUCCAAUGCUGAUCUCAUGAAAGAAAUAACAUCUUUUAAAAGAGAGCUGUUACCGCUAAUGAUGUAUUUGAUUUUUGUAUAUCUAGCUUGUAUACAAUGCCAUACUGGAAAAUAAAGAAUCGUAGACUCAAAAUGGUCUCCAGUAUUCUCCCUUUCAAAGUACGGAUAUGUGCCAGUUCUUCAUCCCACCAUGCUUCCCAGCUUUCUUCUCCCUUAACCCCAAUUCCACCUCUGUAAAGAAGCCAAUUUGUCCAAUCCCUGAAGUCCUCUACUGUCUUUUGCCACUCAAACGCAGAUGGAUUAAACAAAUAGGGAGCAAAGAGCCAAGAAAGAGCCAUAUACCAACUGCUAACUGUAAGAAGAAUGUAAGACAGUGCACCACCUUCAUUAUAUCCAUAUGCAAGGUAUACUACCAGCAAAAGCACAACUUCUAGCCCUUUAACAAAAUGACUGCGGGAAUAGAGCCUAUAGUUUUCAGAAAAUUUAAUAUGGCGGACCACAAAUCCCCUACCAGUGGCAUGGUACCUUGCACCACCAUGAAGAAUGGUUCGACCAAAAUAAUGUGUUCUAGUGCCCAAUGAAAAUGUGAAGAAGACAGAACAAAGCUGAAGCUGCAUUGUGACAAAACUGACAAUGGCCCUCAGAAAACCCUGCUCCAAGAUAAAGCCCAAAAUCAUUGGCACAGCAGUAAAAAUACCAAUUUGAAAGAGGAACUGUGCAUUUAGAGCAGCACUGAGGGCAGUGUUCUGUAGUAUAUCAGAUCUUACUUGAAUUUCUUCGCCAACUCCAGAUAGUGCCAAAUAUGCCUUCCCAUAGAGGAAGAUGUAUACAGUCAGCACCGUUAACAUUGUACAAAAAUAGUAUCCCACAGUAGUAAAGUAAAAUGACAUCAUUCGAAAGAAAUCAAAGAGCUGCCCGAGCCUGUACACAUCCCGACUAAGAACUUGCUCACCGUUGCCACCAGCAACCUUCCCUUCAAACAAAGCAAUCUGGUUGAGACCAACAUCUCGUCCUUUGCCAACCUGAAUAUAUUCAUGAUGAGUAAUAUUCCCUUGGCGCAAAGUUGAAUUGAACCCUGCAUAAAUGUCUUCACUAAUGUUGAUAACUCGAGAAGCCUUGCUGAUACCGCCUCGAGUUAUAUGGAAGACUCUAUCAAAGACAUCUGGAUGGCCAUAAUGCAUACGGACUUUCAAUGGAUUAGCCAAAACACGCUGACCAAGAGUCACAAAGCUAGUUUCCUGAUUUGACAUAAACGAAGCUAAAGAAGAGACACUUCCAGUAAAAACAUGUUCUCUAACACCAAGAAUUGUUGGAGGAUGAAUACCAUGAUCACGAUGGAAUUCUUCUAGAAGAUUUCUCAUCUUUAAGGCUUCCUCAAAAUAAUUAUCCUGAUUCAUAUCAAUUGUCUGAACCGCAUUUCCACGAGUAAAUACAAUUGCAUGGUUUUGAUUCUCAGGUUUUCCUUCUCCAAGUUUUGGAUUUCCAGGCAACUUUAUGGAGUAAAUUUCCUUGUCUUUUCCAUUGAUAUCAGCCUUCACAAGCUUUGAGUAGAAUUCUCUCUGUACUUUACCAUCCUUCAGAGUUUCAACUUCAUCAAUAAAAGCAACACGAAGAGCUUCAUUUCUUUGCAUGAGUAAUGCAAUAUCAGCUGCCUCAGGUUUUUGGUCCUCUUUCUGUUUUCCAUAUAUUUGACAUGUAACCACAUAUGUAAACUUCAGAUCAGCCUGAGCUCGUGCCUCAGGAGACAAGUCAAAACCUCCAGUAUCAGUUGCAUCAUUACUUGAAAUUGCAGAUUCCAUAUCCCCAGCGGUUGCUCUUUCCAAGUAGCUUUGAAGCAUAAGAGCUUUUCUAUAGUACAUCAUUCCACGAACUGUUCUGGCUAGCGUUUGUCCCCUGUAAGAGGCCCAAAACCGAAGUUCAAGGAUAUCACUAGGACUAUCAAAGAGUUCUGUGUCCAUAGCAUUUUCAUCACGGCCAAUUCGAGCAAGAAAGUUCUUCCACUCAUCUGGAAAUAUUUUCUGGAGGUAAAACAAAAUUGAUAUUCCAUCCUCAUUUUUCUUUUGAAGUUCAGCCAUGCUAUAAAGAACAAUCUCCGAAUAGUAAGGAGUAAACACACUGAAAGACAGCAUUUCACGGACUGGCUUUGCCUCAGGCAUACCCAUAAAAAGGGAAUUUGUAAAGAAUUCUAGCCUACGUCUCGCUUCAAUAUUUUUGGGAAUAUUUGAAGCAGAUUCUUUGAUGGUUAAAAGUGCAUGCAAUCUUCUGAUCUGUGUUUUCAAUUCAUUGUUUCUAGGCCACUUCAAGUCUGUAAACAAACGGCCUUGAGACCAUGCUUCGGACAGUACAUUCCACGUCUCACAGUGCUCCCUCAUGAUGACAGAAAGGAAAUCAGAUCGCACAACAUCAUAAAGAUCUUGAACAGCUUUAAUUGCACCUUUUUGCAGUUCUGGUGUCUCAGAUCCUUUCAGAAUUCCCAUUAAUGCGGUUACUCGAGAAAUAACUAGGUGCAGUUUAUUUAGCUGAAAAUCAUCUUGAAUACUCCUCUUUUCAAUACUUGCUUGAAUGUCUCCAUAAACCCUUUCAACCCACAUCUUGCCUUCACCUUCCAAUAUUUCUGUUAGAAUAAAUUCAAGAGCAUGGUAUGAUUCUUCAACCGCAUACUUCAUAUAGUCAUCCCUAGAAAUCCUUUCCCACAGUUCAUCUUGUGACUCUCUGCUCUGAGUAAUCUCUACAGCAAUAUCCUUAGCCAAAAAUAUCUUGCUGGCAAGAAGAAAAAGAGGCCACUGUACCAAGGGCAGAUUUCCAGAAUUUUUUGGCAUCAAAAGCAACUCCAUUUCUUGAUAAGUAAUAUAAUCUUCUUCCCUAAGAUUCUUUAUAAUCUCAUUCCAAAAGGGAGAGAAUCGAGCAGCAUCAAUCUUCCUGUUCUCCAAAACAUCACUAGAAGCGCUUCCAGAUAUCCUGUCGCGAAGUGGAAUAUGAAGAGUAUUCAUAAAAGCCCCAGGAAACUCCUCAAACAGUCGGUGAACAGCUUCCAAAGAUCUAAUUUCCCCAAGACGGUCUCUUGCUCCAAGCAAGAAUCCAUAAAUGGCAGAUAUAACAGUGUAGAAGAUAUGAAUAUCCAAAAGAUAGAUACAGAUAACUGGAGCCCAUAAACUUGCAACUGUCAAGGCAUUAUGAUUAUUUUUAGAUACAAGAUCAUGCCACGAAUACACUAGAUUAUCCGUCAUCCCCACAAUAAUCUGUGUUGGUUCCACCAAUGGCUUGAUCAGGAGAAAGUAUGCAAAUGCGAACUUAGCACUCAAAACAAUAAGCCAGAACAACAUAUACUUCAAAAAAUCACUGGUCCUUUCAUACAUGCCACGCCCAACAUAGUACCGUUCCUGACGCAUCCACUUUAAGAAGCGAAUUAUAGGCCAAUGAUCACACUGAUUAGUCAAGUGAUGGCAAGCAGGUAUGCGCAUGAGGAAACUAAUAAAAAAUUGGAUCCCAGCAUAGAUGCCUAUAAUAAUUACAUACAAUCUGAAAAUGACCGGAUUUGAAUUUUGUUUACUUUCUUCCUGAAGAGCUUUCACAUAAAGGAAGCAUAUGAAGAUUGAAGCACUACAAAACCAAACAAAACGCAGAAAAAUUCGAGAAACAGCUACACGCCGCGUUGUAUAAUAAGCGCCAUACAUCAUGAUAACAUCUAAUAUACUCUCAAAAAACUUCAUCACUACAAAUGUUGGACCAAGACUCAGAACUUCCCGUAGGGUCUUGGAGUUGAAAUUUUCUCCAUUGAAAGCAAAGAUGGUGAGUCCCUGAAACAUCAUAACAAGAAAUAUCCACAGACGAUGGAAACUAUGGUAAAGAUGAAGAAAUGUCCGGUGCUCAACAAAUGAAGUUUUCCCUCGACGUUGACUUCCAGCAGUUCUAAGCAGAUACUUUGCCCUUGGUUUUGGUUUUUGAAAAAAGGAUGAAUUCCUGCGCCAUGGCCAACUAAGUUCGAAGCAGUGAAGCGACCAAAAAUACUCAUUAAAAUCAUCAUAAUUUCUCCAAGCAGAAUGAGGAGCUCGCCCGUUCUCAUUAUUUCCCGCUUCCGCUGCAACAACCUCAUAUAGAGGAGUAACAACUUUAUCAAGGAAAGAUACACCAUUCUCAGAAUUGCAACUAUUUGCAGGCUGCACAAUUUGCUGUCUCAAAAUCUCGUCCAUUUCCCUUACCAUGUGAUGAAAUAUAUAGCACAAGCAUUCUGGAAUGAAUCUAAUGUUUGAGGCUUCCCCCCAUAUCAGAAAGUACAGUGAAAGGAAGAGCAAUUUCUUUUCCUUGCUAACAGACUCCAAAUUGCUCCAAACAGGCUGAAUGUUUAAAUAGCUGCACCAUUUAAUGUAAUUUUCCAGCGACUUCAAGAACACCCUUUGUACAGCAGCCUCAUCCAAUAUCGGUUCAGUUUCAUCGGGUAUACGAAGGCGAGAUUGCUCAUUCGCAAGGAGGUGAACUAUAUGUUCCCGCUGGUUGGAGACAUUGUCUUUCUGAAACCCAAAAACAAACUGCAGAAAAUCAAGCAUGUCAGCAUUCCUUGUAGCAGGAACAGGGAAAUCAACGGGCAAGUUAGGCAGGCCUGGAAAAUACUUUAAAGCCUUCGCUGCUGCUUGCACCUCAGGGAAAGCCACAAUAGCAUUUGUUAUAGUUGAAGCAUCCAGCGGAAUAAUGUUAUAAGCAACUAGGUCCUCAGUCAUAGCUGCAUCUGACUCGAUCAAUCGUUUCAGCUCUUCAGGAAUUUCCUUAGUCAGCUGCUCAAGUACCGAACCUAAAACCUUCAAAGUUGCAAAUACUCUUUUCCUCUUCACUGUUUUUCGUUCCAGCUCGCCAAGAUUUCCACUGAAUGUGCCAGACUCCCUCAACUUUAUUUCUUCUUCUCGUAGCUUGUCUACAUUGUUCUUCUCUCUGUAGAGUUUGUAGAACUCUUGCAAGCGAGCAAUGUCCUGGCUUCUAUCGAUGACCCCACCAUCUCUCUUUGCAAGCUUUUGCUUGAUGACAGACAUCAAACCAGUCUUGAAUUGAAGAACACCUCUUCCUUCACUAUUAGGAUCCAGAUUUUGUGCAAGUGAAUAAGCAUGCUCACAUAAAAUUCUAGAGACAUUCGGAUCUUCAUCUUGAAUUUCAUCAGCAGCCCUCAAAAUUGCAUCAAUAUCCCUAUUGUUUGCAAGUGAAGAGGGAACAUAUCCAGCAAUGCCACCAACGGGUCGGCCAAGUGCAUCAGUCCCAAUUCUUUCCCUCCUUAAUGCAGCCCGUACUAACCGCUCCCAGAGAUCCUCUGCUCGAGACAUUUUCUAGCUGAACCCUCGAUCGCGAGGCCAAAACCCUAGAGACCAAGUUGAGAAGGUGAGUUGAAACGGCCUCUUGGACCGGUAGAAAUGGAAAUAAAAAGCUAACUUUUUCUACAGAAAGGUGAUUGUGUUUGGCGUUUGAAAUCGAAGUGAAACUGAAUCCUGUAAUCCUUCUGGGCAAAGUAAUCAAAGUGGAGUUACCGGAUAUAUCCGGUGGCACACGGGUUUUACUUUGAU